This 849-nucleotide long non-coding RNA is filed under the name Triticum aestivum (bread wheat). Its description in RNAcentral is "long non-coding RNA (TAES_LNC018119)". Lineage: Eukaryota; Viridiplantae; Streptophyta; Magnoliopsida; Poales; Poaceae. The record is from RNAcentral.
UCCGAGUACUAGAACGACAUUGCCACGACAUGACUCAUCUCUGCCACUACAUCGCUCCUCUUAGGUGCAGCUUCGUCAAGGGCAGACAUCUCAGGACCAUGGCACGGGCUUGGAUUUGAUGCUCAAGCAGACUCUUUCCCCUAACUCAUAUGUGUACACAGGAUAUGACGCAUACACCCAACGUGAGGGAUCUCAGUCGUAUCUCUCCACGCGAGGGAUCUCCAUGCCCGAGGAGACUCGUGUACCGGAUUUAAACCAGUACCACGUACAAUGGCCAGACAGUACAGGCGAGGGAUCUGAUCAGGUAGUCAUGUUUACAUUUUAAUGCAUUUACAAUGAUAUCAUAUAUUAUCCUCUAACAGUUUGUUUACAAUGUUUUUAUGUGCAGGACAUACCUGAUGUUAAUUGAGACGAUGAGUACACCCAACAUGGCCUCAACACACGCGUCCGGGGAGCAUCACAUGAUCAUGGCGACACGGUUACAUCAUUAGUUACAGAGUUCUUCGGAGGGGACGUUAUUGGCCCAUCUUUUAUCCCCGCGGACUCACAACCAUACGCGUACAAUUACGCUUCAGGUUCGCAACAAGGAUUCCCGACUCCACCACCUACGCAGGAGUCGCAGACACAUGAAGCCGAAUUGGAGUAUGGUUGCGGUCUUCGUGUAACUCGGCCACCUAAUCGCUUGUCACUUUCCGGUCAUAAGGAAAGGCCAGGUGGUCGUCGUAAACUAGGGUGAUUCAUCUAUCCACGUGCGCGACCCACUGUAUCUACAUAUGUCAGUAUCAGACUAUCCGAUUUAACAUCUAUGUAUGCUAAAAUAAAAAUGCACCAGUCAGGAACAAUUUUUCC